Molecule: ribosomal RNA, 525 nt
Filed under: Triticum aestivum (bread wheat)
Lineage: Eukaryota; Viridiplantae; Streptophyta; Magnoliopsida; Poales; Poaceae
Description: partial small subunit ribosomal RNA
Source: RNAcentral
GUGGCGCAGGUGGACCUCAAACUUGAUGGAUCCUUUGCUGAUAUGAUUCUUAUUCCAUACUUGGUUCCAAAUAAAAUACGAACUUCUGCACCUUUUAUAUUGACAAAUCCUGGGCAGUUAAAUUUCUGUGAUGGUGGUGCUUUAUUUUCUGCACGGAAAUCAGAAGAGGAAUAUGCUCAGUCCGAGGCACAUAAAUUUUCAGUCGUAGUUCCUACAAUUGAUCCCAGCAUAACAGUUACGAAUAUGUAUUCACUAACUGGGAGAGAGCAUCCAAGUAUUUCACUGAAUAAAUUUUGUGCUAGGCAAAUUGUCGCACCUCCGAUAUCAGGGAAUAUGAAAUGGCCUUUGACUUGUGGGGUUCCUAGUGAAAUGUCACUGAAGGAAGAUCAUGUAGUUGAAAGAAUAUAUGUUGCAGGCUAUCAAGAUGGUUCUGUUAGAAUAUGGGAUGCAACUUUUCCUAUUCUGAUGCCAAUGUUUGUCUUGGAUGCAAAGGUCACUUAUACUGUGUUCUUAGUUGUUGACUGA